GUACUUUUGGCAAAUUUGAGUGAGAGGUUGAUCAUCGAGCGCCAAGCAUACGACAAUGAUUCUUUGGGGAAUUUUGCAUUUUGAAGACGUUUCAAGGGAUUUCGGUUUUGGCAUUGCAUAGAGCUGUGGAGCAAUCCUUUUACCUCUCCCUUUAUGGAGAAGAUUUUAAUUCCUUAUAUCAUACGGAUCUCCUUGUAGUAGUAUUUUUUUGGCUUCAUUUGAUUUCCAAUCAAUUAGAAAAAAACUAUUCGAACGAGACACCUAUGUAAUGGAGUGUUGUUAAUUAUAUCAGGAAAAGCUUGAAGAAUGGAUGUGCCUCAUUUAUUAGUUUCACUUGAUUUGUUAGAAAUUGAAGCUCUUUCUACAACA
Salvia splendens (bonfire salvia) is the source of this 369-nucleotide long non-coding RNA. RefSeq lists it as uncharacterized. The record is from RefSeq and is a predicted model, not a curated record. NCBI's taxonomy places the organism in Eukaryota, Viridiplantae, Streptophyta, Magnoliopsida, Lamiales, Lamiaceae. The transcript is spliced from 2 exons.